GGCCCUGUCUCAAACCAUUGCCUCGCCACUUCGCCUUUGCAAGGGACACUACUGUAUAGGUUUCACCGCCAAAAGAACAGAGCGAUAAAGUGAUUUUGGCAACGAAAGAUUUGAGAAGAGACUCGGACCCACGCUCUGCUCAUCUGUGUGUCAUUCCAGGAAGCAGGAAAGAUUUUGUAUCCGAGCCAUCUGCUGUCGUUGGUUGCAGUGGAUUGUUGUACGGCCAAGAGACGGUACUGCGCAUGCGCCCUGGGGCACCAAGUAGCACACUACCUAACGUAGGGAGCGGAAUUUGUGAUUCUACUACAAAAUGGCGGACUCCAAAAGCAGCACACUAUAUAGUGAAUAGGGUGUGGUUUCGGACGUAGCCACAAGACAACAUGGCGAAUGGAGCCGAGGGCGAAGGCGGAGUGUGAUGCAAAGACUUUUGAGACAAGGCCUCAAAAUUCAAUACAGAAAAAGUUGUUUUUUUUACGUGCUGUUGGUUAAUAAAUAACUGUUUGGACGAUGAAACUGUAAAUUAUAUUUGGUUUCAUUUGUGUGUGUGUUCUACUUUUUCUUGGUUAUUAUAAAGGAAGUAAAGUAUAAGGAUAGACAUGUAUGUAAAUAAAGGUGGUGAUCUUUACACAGA
This is a long non-coding RNA of Ictalurus punctatus (channel catfish), 631 nucleotides long. RefSeq lists it as uncharacterized. NCBI's taxonomy places the organism in Eukaryota, Metazoa, Chordata, Actinopteri, Siluriformes, Ictaluridae. The record is from RefSeq and is a predicted model, not a curated record. The transcript is spliced from 2 exons.